AUGGUGGACCACCACGCGGCGAAACAGUCGGACCAGUACUGCCCCAGCAGCGCAGGCAAUGGCGCUGGCGGCUGGGGUGGCAUGGGCAACUACAUGGCCCAAGAGGACGACUGGGACCGGGACCUGCUGUUGGACCCGGCCUGGGAGAAGCAGCAGCGCAAGACCUUCACAGCCUGGUGAAAUUCUCACCUGCGCAAGGCAGGCACACAGAUAGAGAACAUCGACUAAGACUUUAGAGACGGGCUCAAGCUCAUGCUUCUCCUGGAGGUCAUUUCAGGGGAGCGGUUACCUAAGCCCAAGCGGGGGAAAUGAGAGUGCACACAAUGUGAACAAAGCUCUGGACUUUAUCGCCAACAAAGGAGUCAAGCUGGUUUCCAUUGGGGCGGAAGAGAUAGUGGAUGGCAUUGCAAAGAUGACCCUGGGAGUGAUCUGGACCAUUAUCCUGAGGUUUGCCAUCCAGGACAUCUCUGUGGAAGAAAUUUCUGAGAAGGAAGGGCUGCUUCUCUGGUGCCAGAGAAAGACUGCCCCAUAUAAGAAUGUCAACAUGCAGAAUUUCCACAUCAGGUGGAAGGAUGGUCUUGCUUUCAAUGCUCUCAUCCACCGACACAGACCAGAGCUGAUUGAGUAUGACAAGCUGAGAAAGGAUGAGCCUGUCACCAAUCUGAACAAUGCCUUUGAAGUGGCUGAGAAAUACCUUCACAUCCCCAAGAUGUUGGAUGCAGAAGACAUCGUGAACACAGCCCGGCCCGACGAGAAGGCCAUAAUGACCUAUGUGUCCAGCUUCUACCAUGCCUUUUUGGGAGCACAGAAGGUUGAGACUGCCGCCAACAGGAUCUGCAAGGUGCUGGCUGUCAACCAGGAGGAUGAACACCUGAUGGAAGAUUAUGAGCGGCUAGCCAGUGAUCUCCUAGAGUGGAUGCGGCACGCCAUCCACUCGUGCCCCAAAGAACCACCCAGGAGAUGCAGCAGAAGCUGGAAGACUUCCGUGACUACUGGCAUGUCCACAAGCCACUGAGGCCACAAGAGAAGUGUCAGCUGGAGAUCAACUUCAACACACUACAGAACAAACUGCGCCUCAGCAAUCUGCCAGGCUUCAUGCCCUCUGAGGGAAGGAUGGUUCGGACAGCAACAAUGGCUGGCAGCACCUGGAGCAGGCUGAGAAGGGCUAUGAAGAGUGGCUGCUGAAUGAAAUCCCCAGGCUGGAGUGGUUUGACAGAAGUUCAAACUUCUGUGGCAGAGAAGUUCCAGUAGAAGGCUUCCAGCCAUAAGGCCUGGGCCGAUGGAAAGGAAGCCAUGCUCAAGCACCUGGACUAUGAAACAGCUACCCUGUCAGACAUCAAGGCUCUUAUCUGCAAACAUGAGGCCUUUGAGAGUGACCUGGCUGCACACUAGGACCGUGUAGAGCAGAUUGCAGCAAUUGCCCAGGAGCUUAAUGAGCUGGAUUACUAUGACUCUCACAAUGUAAACACCCGGUGCCAGAAGAUCUGUGACCAGUGGGAUACCAUGGGCAAUCUGACCAACAGUCACAGGGAAGCCCUGGAUAAAACAGAGAAGCAGCUGGAGACCAUUGGCCAGCUGCACCUGGAGAAUGCCAAGUAGGCUGCCCCUUUGAACAACUGGAUGGAGAGUGCCAUGGAGGACCUGCAGGACGUGUUCAUUGUACACACCAUCGAGGAGAUUGAGGGCCUGAUCUCAGCACAUGACCAGUUCAAGUCAACCCUGCCAAAUGCUGACAGGGAGCAUGAGGCUAUCCUGGCCAUACACAAAGAGGCACAGAGGAUAGCUGAGAGCAACCACAUCAAGCUGUCAGGCAUCAAACACUAUACCACUGUUACCCCCCAGAUCAUCAACUCCAAGUGGGAAAUGGUGCAGCAGUUGGUACCAAAGCAGGACCAUGCCCUCAUUGGGGAGCAGAUCAAGCAGCAGUCCAACGAGCACCUCCGCCGCCAGUUCGUCAGCCAGGCCAACAUGGUGGGGCUCUGGAUCCAGACCAAGAUAGAGGAGAUCAGGUGCAUCUCCACCGAGAUGAAUGGGACCCUGGAGGACCAGCUGAACCACUUGAAGCAGUACAAACGCAGCAUUGUGGACUACAAGCCCAACCUGGACCUGCUGGAGCAGCAGCACCAGCUCAUACAGGAGGCCCUCAUCUUUGACAACAACCACACCAACUAUACCAUGGAGCACAUUCACGUGGGCUGGGAGCAGCUGUUCACCACCACUGCUCUCACCAUCAAUGAAAUUGAGAACCAGAUCCUCACCCAAGACACCAAGGGCAUCAGCCUGGAGUAGAUGCAAGAGUUCUGGGUGUCCUUCAACCAUUUUGACAAGGAUCGUGGCGGGGCCCUGGGGCCUGAGGAGUUCAAGGCCUGCCUCAUCAGCCUGGGCUACGACAAGGAGAAUGACCGCCUGGGUGAUGCUGAGUUCAACUGCAUCAUGAAUGUGGUUAAUCACAAACACAGUGGCCUCCUGACCUUCCAAGCCUUCAUCGACUUCAUGUCGAGGGAGACCACUGACACGGACACAGCUGACCAAGUUAUUGCCUCCUUCAAGGUGCUGGCAGGGGACAAGAACUUCAUCACAGCUGAGGAGCUAUGGAGAGAGCUGCCCCCCUACCAGGCAGAGUACUGCAUUGCCCGCAUGGCGCCCUAUCAGGGGUCUGAGGCUGUGCCUGGUGCCCUGGACUACAAGUCCUUCUCCACAGCCCUCUAUGGAGAGAGUGACCGGUGAAGCCCUAGCCACCGGACCACACCCUCCUCGAGGCCUCCUG
This is an RNA transcript of Octodon degus (degu), 2767 nucleotides long. It is a transcript of the gene named alpha-actinin-4-like, with no coding region annotated. The record is from RefSeq and is a predicted model, not a curated record. NCBI's taxonomy places the organism in Eukaryota, Metazoa, Chordata, Mammalia, Rodentia, Octodontidae. The transcript is spliced from 2 exons.